GCAGUCGUACGAGAGUUUUUACUCUAGUGGCGGACGGGUGAGUAACACGUGAGUAAUUUACCUUUAGGAGGGGGAUAACAAUUGGAAACGACUGCUAAUACCCCAUAUGCUUCUGAGUGAAAUGGAUUUAUAUUUAUCCGCCUAGAGAGAAGCUCGCGGCUGAUUAGCUUGUUGGUAAGGUAAGAGCUUACCAAGGCGACGAUCAGUAUCUGGUUUGAGAGGACGAUCAGACACACUGGAACUGAGACACGGUCCAGACUCCUACGGGAGGCAGCAGUGGGGAAUUUUCCGCAAUGGGCGAAAGCCUGACGGAGCAAUACCGCGUGAGGGAAGACUGCCUAUGGGUUGUAAACCUCUUUUUUCAGGGAGGAAUAAAAUGACGUGUACCUGAAGAAUAAGCAUCGGCUAACUCCGCGCCAGCAGCCGCGGUAAGACGGAGGAUGCAAGUGUUAUCCGGAAUCACUGGGCGUAAAGCGUCUGUAGGUGGUUUGAUAAGUCAACUGUUAAAUCUUGAGGCUCAACUUCAAAAUCGCAGUCGAAACUAUUAGACUAGAGUAUAGUAGAGGUAAGGGGAAUUUCCAGUGGAGCGGUGAAAUGCGUAGAUAUUGGAAAGAACACCGAUGGCGAAAGCACUUUACUGGGCUAUUACUAACACUCAGAGACGAGAGCUAGGGUAGCAAAUGGGAUUAGAUACCCCAGUAGUCCUAGCCGUAAACUAUGGAUACUAGAUGUUGAACAGAUCGACCUGUGCAGUAUCAAAGCUAACGCGUUAAGUAUCCCGCCUGGGAAGUAUGCUCGCAAGAGUGAAACUCAAA
This 815-nucleotide ribosomal RNA is filed under the name uncultured cyanobacterium. Its description in RNAcentral is "bacterial SSU rRNA". It matches the Rfam family "Bacterial small subunit ribosomal RNA", at positions 57 to 905 of the family's 1533-position model. Lineage: Bacteria; Bacillati; Cyanobacteriota. The record is from RNAcentral.